UUCCAGAGCUGCAACUUUCCUGGAGUCUCCAGAAUUACUCGGUGUCAGGUUCUAAGUGACUUAAGAUUCCAAAAAAUGAUUUAAUUAGAAUACCAUGAAGUAUUGUGAAAUAUUAUAUAUUAAGACUUUAUAUAUAGGCUUUAUGAACAGAUUAGAGUGACUCGUGAAGGACCAGCACCACCUCCUCUUGUCCGAUGGUUUGAGGAAUAUAUCUUCCAGAAUCUUGGAUUAAGAUUUAGGAGCUCAUUUUUAUUCCAUCUCCUUUCCUGAAAAGUUUGUCUUGCAGAAUUGACUAAAAAUUAAUCUUCACAUUAAUUCCUAAUUCUUUUGCAAUUCUUUUUGUCAGUUCUUCUCGACCUUUUUUCUCUUCCAGCUUUCCUGGACUAUUGUAUAUCACUCAUAAAUGAUUAAAUAAAAAAUAAUGGUAGUUAUUAAGAUUGAUAUGGUUUGGAAUUGGUAAAAUGUGCUUGGAAAAAAAAUCAUAAAACAAUGUUUUAAUGUUUAAGUUUGGAAUAUUAACUGACAUAAAUGAAUUCUAUAUAAAUAUUG
Carassius carassius (crucian carp) is the source of this 549-nucleotide long non-coding RNA. RefSeq lists it as uncharacterized. The transcript has 3 exons. Lineage: Eukaryota; Metazoa; Chordata; Actinopteri; Cypriniformes; Cyprinidae. The record is from RefSeq and is a predicted model, not a curated record.